ACGGGAGGCAGCAGUGGGGAAUAUUGGGCAGUGGGCGAAAGCCUGACCCAGCCACGCCGCGUGAAGGAAGAAGGUCCUCGGAUUGUAAACUUCUUUUAUCAGGGACGAAGAAAGUGACGGUACCUGAUGAAUAAGCCACGGCUAACUACGUGCCAGCAGCCGCGGUAAUACGUAGGUGGCAAGCGUUAUCCGGAUUUACUGGGUGUAAAGGGCGCGUAGGCGGGGAAGCAAGUCAGAUGUGAAAUCCAUGGGCUCAACUCAUGAACUGCAUUUGAAACUGUUUUUCUUGAGUGUCGGAGAGGUAGAUGGAAUUCCUAGUGUAGCGGUGAAAUGCGUAGAUAUUAGGAAGAACACCAGUGGCGAAGGCGAUCUACUGGACGAUAACUGACGCUGAGGCGCGAAAGCGUGGGGAGCAAACAGGAUUAGAUACCCUGGUA
Molecule: ribosomal RNA, 437 nt
Filed under: uncultured Oscillospiraceae bacterium
Lineage: Bacteria; Bacillati; Bacillota; Clostridia; Eubacteriales; Oscillospiraceae
Description: bacterial SSU rRNA
Rfam family: Bacterial small subunit ribosomal RNA
Source: RNAcentral